UACGAAGGGUGCAAGCGUUACUCGGAAUUACUGGGCGUAAAGCGUGCGUAGGCGGUUCGUUAAGUCUGUCGUGAAAGCCCUGGGCUCAACCUGGGAAUUGCGAUGGAUACUGGCGAGCUAGAGUACGGUAGAGGAUGGUGGAAUUCCCGGUGUAGCGGUGAAAUGCGUAGAGAUCGGGAGGAACACCCGUGGCGAAGGCGGCCAUCUGGACCAGUACUGACGCUGAGGCACGAGAGCGUGGGGAGCAAACAGG
RNAcentral lists this ribosomal RNA (253 nucleotides) under uncultured bacterium. RNAcentral describes it as "partial 16S ribosomal RNA". It matches the Rfam family "Bacterial small subunit ribosomal RNA", at positions 524 to 776 of the family's 1533-position model. The record is from RNAcentral.